This is a long non-coding RNA of Piliocolobus tephrosceles (Ugandan red Colobus), 457 nucleotides long. RefSeq lists it as uncharacterized. The transcript has 3 exons. The record is from RefSeq and is a predicted model, not a curated record. Lineage: Eukaryota; Metazoa; Chordata; Mammalia; Primates; Cercopithecidae.
GAUUUCUCUAGAAUUUGGAAACAGUUUUCACUGAAAACUAAGCUGUUCUUCUGUAAAGCCCUGCAAACUGAAGCUAGACAACUUAAUCAUCAGAAGAAAAUAAUGGACAUGAAACUUCACAACCUGCUAAAAAUGAACUUUCCUAAUAACUCAGAACCUACCUGUCUAGGAAUAAACCAUCCUAGCCUUGAGCACUCAGAUGACCAGAGACUUAUUUUCUUCUAAAAUGCUUUCUCUAAAAUAUUUUAAAAAAGAAAAGGGGGGAAAUGUGAAAGGAAAAUAAAAAAUCUUGGGGCCUCCAAAUCACUAAACUGGGAAAGUCAAGCUUGGAACUUCUUAGGGCAAACCUGCCUUUCUAUUCAAAGUCAUCCCUCUGCUCACUGAGAUAAAUGCACAUCUGAUUGCCUCCUUUGGAAAGGCUAAUCAGAAACUCAAAGAAUGCAACUGUUUGUCUCUC